UAGAGCCUGUGGUCAGGCUGAAGCGGCAGGUAGAGCCAUCACACCGGAGGGGAGGAAUGCCACUCGGCUCUGUGGUUUGGAGCCGGAAUCCGGUCUGUUUGGCACCGUCUUGUUUCCUGCUGUGCGAGCGGCGGAGCCAGACUGCAGCUCAGGCAUUUUAUGAUUUAACUGCAGGGAUAGAUGACGGUAAUGAAGACGGCUCCUCACCGUCUGCUCCUCAUGGGGUAACAUCAGAUGAUAAUCUGCUUCACAGCACAUGUGUCAGAUGGAAGGAAUGCUAAUCUGGAAGAGGUGCAGAGCUUGGACUUUUUGGCAGCCAGUUUCCACUCUGCACUUACUUUCCAUGUGGUGCCGCUCCAGAGGCUCCGGGUAGGAGAAGCCUGUUUGGGGAACGGAGGUGUUGAUGGAUCCCAGAUCGCCCCAUUGGC
This is a long non-coding RNA of Sinocyclocheilus grahami, 428 nucleotides long. RefSeq lists it as uncharacterized. NCBI's taxonomy places the organism in Eukaryota, Metazoa, Chordata, Actinopteri, Cypriniformes, Cyprinidae. The record is from RefSeq and is a predicted model, not a curated record. The transcript has 3 exons.